GACGAACGCUGGCGGCGUGCUUAACACAUGCAAGUCGAACGGAAAGGCCCUGCUUUUGUGGGGUGCUCGAGUGGCGAACGGGUGAGUAACACGUGAGUAACCUGCCCUUGACUUUGGGAUAACUUCAGGAAACUGGGGCUAAUACCGGAUAGGAGCUCCUGCUGCAUGGUGGGGGUUGGAAAGUUUCGGCGGUUGGGGAUGGACUCGCGGCUUAUCAGCUUGUUGGUGGGGUAGUGGCUUACCAAGGCUUUGACGGGUAGCCGGCCUGAGAGGGUGACCGGCCACAUUGGGACUGAGAUACGGACCAGACUCCUACGGGGGGCAGCAGUGGGGAAUAUUGCACAGUGGGCGGAAGCCUGAUGCAGCAACGCCGCGUGCGGGAUGAAGGCCUUCGGGUUGUAAACCGCUUUCGCCUGUGACGAAGCGUGAGUGACGGUAAUGGGUAAAGAAGCACCGGCUAACUCCGUG
This 468-nucleotide ribosomal RNA is filed under the name uncultured bacterium. RNAcentral describes it as "partial 16S ribosomal RNA". It matches the Rfam family "Bacterial small subunit ribosomal RNA", at positions 28 to 507 of the family's 1533-position model. The record is from RNAcentral.